RNAcentral lists this ribosomal RNA (374 nucleotides) under uncultured bacterium. Its description in RNAcentral is "bacterial SSU rRNA". It matches the Rfam family "Bacterial small subunit ribosomal RNA", at positions 523 to 898 of the family's 1533-position model. The record is from RNAcentral.
AUACGUAGGGGGCGAGCGUUAUCCGGAAUUAUUGGGCGUAAAGGGUACGUAGGUGGUCCAGGAAGCGUGUGGUGAAAUUACGGGGCUUAACCCCGUCCAGCCAUGCGAACUUUUGGACUUGAGUACAGGAGAGGGAAGUGGAAUUCCUAGUGUAGCGGUGAAAUGCGUAGAUAUUAGGAGGAACAUCAGUGGCGAAGGCGACUUCCUGGACUGUAACUGACACUGAGGUACGAAAGCGUGGGUAGCAAACAGGAUUAGAUACCCUGGUAGUCCACGCUGUAAACGAUGAGCACUAGGUGUCGGGGUCGCAAGGCUUCGGUGCCGGAGUUAACGCAUUAAGUGCUCCGCCUGGGGAGUACGUGCGCAAGCAUGAA